This 863-nucleotide long non-coding RNA is filed under the name Physcomitrium patens. RNAcentral describes it as "long non-coding RNA (PPAT_LNC003280)". Lineage: Eukaryota; Viridiplantae; Streptophyta; Bryopsida; Funariales; Funariaceae. The record is from RNAcentral.
GGAAAUCGGAGGCAAGAUUUGUAAAUUUUAGGGUUUUGACUACAAUUUUUGUGCAAAUUUUAUAGGGUUUGGAGUUAGGGUGAAUAAAUUAUAGCCGUUUGAAGUUAAGGUGUCAAUUUGAGACCUACUGUUACUCUUUUGAGUUUAAGAGGAGUCUUACGGAAGCUUUUGGAGAUCGGAAGGUGCGGCUGGAAGGGCAACUUCAAGACAUACAUCUUUUGUGAAGGAAAUUUUGCAUUUGGAGUUUAUGUGAAGGAGUUAUAGGGAGUUAAAGACAGCGCAUUCAAAUCAAAGGCAGUAAGUAAGCGGUUUUGUUCAGAGUAGUGUUAGGAGCCAUAACUUGAGUUUUCGAACGAAAUUUUGGCUCAAACUUUGAAAGAAUGUAAAAAUUUGUGUUAAGAAGCUCUCUAUACAAGUUUCGUGGCAUUUAGACUUAUGGUUUGUGAGAUAUGAAAAAAAUUGCGCGUGGGUAUAUAAAGAUUAGGGUUUGAAGCGACUGUUAGGGUUUUGAAGAUAUCUCAAGAUCCGCAACGAAUUUGCGGUUGAAAUUUGUUGUACAAAUUAAUAACAACAUAUCAGUACGUCAUGUAAAUUUUGAUCUUGUUUGGACGGUUGGAUCAAGAGUUAUGAGGUGUUGAGGUUCGGGAGAAUUUCCACACAAGGAUAUACAAGGUUUUAGAGUACUUCUACCAUAUUUUGGGUGUUGUUGGUUAUUUAAGACUUAAGUAUUUGGUGUAAUUGUCCCAAAAGGAGAACUUAUAUAUAUAAAAUUAGGGUUUCCUUAUUUUAAGCUUGAUUGAACAAUUAGCAGCCAGAAGCCCAACACUUUCUUGAGGCAAAACCUCUCUACCCCGACACUGUUA